This 1774-nucleotide long non-coding RNA is filed under the name Homo sapiens (human). RNAcentral's name for it is "non-protein coding lnc-LUC7L2-2:1". The record is from RNAcentral. Lineage: Eukaryota; Metazoa; Chordata; Mammalia; Primates; Hominidae.
UUUUUUUUGAGAUGGAGUCUUGCUCUGUCACCCAGGCUGGAGUGCAGUGGCACAUUCUCGCCUCACUGCCGAGAAUGCAACCUCCACCUCCGGGGUUCAAGUUAUUCUUCUGCCUCAGCCUCCUGAAUAGCCGGGAUUACAGGUGCCUGCAACUACACCAGGCUAAUUUUUGUAUUUUUAGUAGAGACAGGGUUUCAACCAUGUUGGCCAGGCUGGUCUCGAACUCCUGACCUCAAGUGAUCCCCCGCCUCGGCCUCCCAAAGUGCUGGGAGCACUUCAGUGUGAGCCACCGCGCCCAGCAUCACGCCCAGCAUCACGUGCGUUUUUUAACCUCACAGGCGAUUCCAGCCAGCACCUGUCCCUGGGGAGCCCUGAGCCUGUGGUACUUGGCCCUGAGGCUGGGAGGAGCUGAAAGGCUCCUGAUGUCCCAGACACAGGAUGUUUGCUGUGAGGAGCUUGGAAGUUAAAAUAGAGUAUGUUCUCAGACUGCCAGGUUAAUUUGCAGUUGGAAUAAGAAGCAAGCCGUGAGAAUCACUAAAGUGUUUCUAAGAUUUUUAUUGCUUGUCAAGUACAUCCUUUAGGGCUCCGCGUCUAAAUAUUUAAGAUUCCAGCUUUGCUCUUAUCAGAGCUCAAAUGUGGCCACAGUUCUCCCACCCUUUGCCUGGUCAUAAUUCAGAACCAACUUAUCACCAUGGUUUGUUCUCAUUCUCCUUCUCUUACUCCCAACCAGUGACACCCGGGCUUCUGCUUACAGCUGGAGGCACUGGCCACCUACCUUCCUUCCUUGGCUGGGAGCAUCAACAGCCAAGCCCCUUUACACGGCAGUCAUCUUGAUGAGUUGCUGGGGCCAAAGCCUGCCCUCCCUCCCUCUGUAAGCAGUAUGGAUUCCUUGUGGCCUUCUGAGCCUUCUCCUUGCUACUCAAGAGUUUCCAAAUCAAAAGACUUGCAGCCUGUUCCUGUUUUUUAAAAGUAUUUAUAAAAGCUGAAUGUCAAUUUUCUACUUAGAGUUAUAAAUAGAAGCAGAUGCUCUGGUUUGUUGAUCAGCACGCUGUGUUCUUACAGGGGAAGUCAAAGAAUCCGAAGUGUGCUUGGAGCAUAGAACUAGCGCAAGAGGGCGCUAGUGAGGCGGUGCGGCGCGGGCGGCCAGGAGCUAGGGUUUGAAAACAGACUUCGGUUUGAGCCCUGAAUCUGCCACUUAGAAGCUGUGUGCCCUUGGGAAGCGAUAAUAAUACAUUUACCAAAGUCAGACUAGAUAACCCCAGCACUGAGGAGUUAUCCACAUCAUCUCUUCGUCCUUCACAACAAUAAAUCUAUAAGCUAGAAGUUACCAUCUCCAGACUUACAGAUGAGAUUGCUGAGGCUUAAAAAAGUCAAAAAGGUACUCAAGGUAUCAUGAUAGGGCCUGGGGGAGUUGAAUGUAGUUUAGAUUAACCCCAGGACCUACUACUUUAUUUUUAUUGCGUUUAUUCAAAGGCAAAACCUGUAAGAGAUGCCUAAAAAUGAUAAUGGCUACCUUUCUUAAAAAAACUUUAUUGAGAUUUAAUUUUCCCACAAUAAAAUUCACCAAUUUCGGCUGGGCGCAGUGGCUCACGCCUGUAAUCCCAGCACUUUGGGAGGCCGAGGGGAGUGGAUCACUUGAGGUCAGGAGUUCGAGACCAGCCUGGCCAACAUGGUGAAGCCCCAUCUCUACCAAAAACACAAAAAAUUAGCCGGCAUGGUGGCAGGCACCUGUAAUCCCAGCUAUUCGGGAGGGUGAGGCAGGAGAAUCGCUUGA